Amblyraja radiata (thorny skate) is the source of this 171-nucleotide long non-coding RNA. RefSeq lists it as uncharacterized. The record is from RefSeq and is a predicted model, not a curated record. The transcript is spliced from 4 exons. Lineage: Eukaryota; Metazoa; Chordata; Chondrichthyes; Rajiformes; Rajidae.
UCCUUUUGACAUGUUAAUAUCUCAGAAAUGGAGGGUCAUGUGACUUAUUUUGUUCACCAUUGUGUAGAGCAUAUCUCAAAUACCCUAACACAAGCAAUAACUCAAUUUUGACAAAAUUGUCAGUCGCUUCCUUUUGUCAAAGUAGGGCAGAAUGGUUGGGACAUGGCUGUA